RNAcentral lists this ribosomal RNA (444 nucleotides) under uncultured bacterium. RNAcentral's name for it is "SSU rRNA". It matches the Rfam family "Bacterial small subunit ribosomal RNA", at positions 26 to 518 of the family's 1533-position model. The record is from RNAcentral.
AGAGCGAACGCUGGCGGCAGGCCUAAUACAUGCAAGUCGAACGCACCUUCGGGUGAGUGGCGGACGGGUGAGUAACACGUGGGAACGUGCCUUUUGGUUCGGAAUAAUCCGGGGAAACCUGGCCUAAUACCGGAUGUGCCCUUCGGGGGAAAGAUUUAUCGCCAUUAGAGCGGCCCGCGUCUGAUUAGCUUGUUGGUGGGGUAAUGGCCCACCAAGGCGACGAUCAGUAGCUGGUCUGAGAGGAUGAUCAGCCACACUGGGACUGAGACACGGCCCAGACUCCUACGGGAGGCAGCAGUAGGGAAUCUUGCGCAAUGGGGGAAACCCUGACGCAGCCAUGCCGCGUGAAUGAUGAAGGUCUUAGGAUUGUAAAAUUCUUUCAGCGGGGAAGAUAAUGACUGUACCCGCAGAAGAAGCUCCGGCUAACUUCGUGCCAGCAGCCGC